This 253-nucleotide ribosomal RNA is filed under the name uncultured bacterium. RNAcentral's name for it is "partial 16S ribosomal RNA". It matches the Rfam family "Bacterial small subunit ribosomal RNA", at positions 524 to 776 of the family's 1533-position model. The record is from RNAcentral.
UACAGAGGUCCCAAGCGUUGUUCGGAUUCACUGGGCGUAAAGGGUGCGUAGGUGGCCAGGUAAGUUCGGUGUGAAAGCUCGGAGCUUAACUCCGAAAUGUCAUUGAAUACUAUCUGGCUGGAGGGUCGGAGGGGAGACUGGAAUUCUCGGUGUAGCAGUGAAAUGCGUAGAUAUCGAGAGGAACACCAGUGGCGAAGGCGAGUCUCUGGACGACUCCUGACACUGAGGCACGAAAGCCAGGGGAGCAAACGGG